AUGCCGAUCUCAUCCUCCCUCUCCGCGCGCCUCGGCCCUGGCCCCGCGCCCGCGCGCGCACGAUGGAGUCCUUACGCCCGCCCCUCCGAACCCCGCAGGAGCGGCGCUGGAAGCGGCUGCGCCAAGGCCUCCCGCCCGCCCCUCCGCCUCGAACCCGCGACGGCGAGACUCCUCGGCCCCGCGCGGAGGGCCGAAUCCCGCGGAUCGAGCCGCGGCGCCGCGUUCGGCACCGCAGCCCCUACACCUGCACGACGGCGGCUUGGAGACCUGAAGAAGUCGGACCGGAAGACGGAUCCCAAGCCGGCGGGUACGAAUCCAGAGCCGAUCCAGGAGCCGCGCGUCGAGGAGAGCCGUGGCUGCGGCGGUUUCGCUUUCCUCUGCGCCCUCGCUGGACACAAGGAGGCUAUUACUGGAAUCUCUAUGCCGAUGGGGUCCGACAAGCUCUACUCUGGCAGUGCCGAUGGCUCUGUUCGCGUAUGGGACGGCAACUCUGGCAAGGUAGCUGGGCUAUCCGCUCUCGGGAUUCCUCUCAGACUCUUUAUGCUCGGUUCACUUUUGGGGUCGUGUCUGCGUUGA
RNAcentral lists this ribosomal RNA (576 nucleotides) under Triticum aestivum (bread wheat). Its description in RNAcentral is "partial small subunit ribosomal RNA". Lineage: Eukaryota; Viridiplantae; Streptophyta; Magnoliopsida; Poales; Poaceae. The record is from RNAcentral.